GAUGAACGCUGGCGGCGUGCUUAACACAUGCAAGUCGAACGGAAAGGCCCAAGCUUGCUUGGGUCCUCGAGUGGCGAACGGGUGAGUAACACGUGGGUGAUCUGCCCUGCACUUCGGGAUAAGCCUGGGAAACUGGGUCUAAUACCGGAUAGGACGAUGGUUUGGAUGCCAUUGUGGAAAGUUUUUUCGGUGUGGGAUGAGCUCGCGGCCUAUCAGCUUGUUGGUGGGGUAAUGGCCUACCAAGGCGUCGACGGGUAGCCGGCCUGCGAGGGUGUACGGCCACAUUGGGACUGAGAUACGGCCCAGACUGCUACGGGAGGCAGCAGGGGGGAAUAUUGCACAAUGGGCGCAAGCCUGAUGCAGCGACGCCGCGUGGGGGAUGACGGCCUUCGGGUUGUAAACUCCUUUCGCUAGGGACGAAGCGUUUUUGUGACGGUACCUGGAGAAGAAGCACCGGCUAACUACGUG
Molecule: ribosomal RNA, 468 nt
Filed under: uncultured bacterium
Lineage: Bacteria
Description: partial 16S ribosomal RNA
Rfam family: Bacterial small subunit ribosomal RNA
Source: RNAcentral